This 108-nucleotide ribosomal RNA is filed under the name uncultured prokaryote. RNAcentral describes it as "partial 16S ribosomal RNA". It matches the Rfam family "Archaeal small subunit ribosomal RNA", at positions 324 to 434 of the family's 1478-position model. The record is from RNAcentral.
UACGGGGUGCAGCAGGCGCGAAACCUCUGCAAUGCGGGAAACCGUGACAGGGGGAUCCCAAGUGCUCAUGCAUUGCAUGGGCUGUUCUUUGUCUAAGUAACCGGGGAG